GAUGAACGCUAGCUACAGGCUUAACACAUGCAAGUCGAGGGGAAACGACAUCGAAAGCUUGCUUUUGAUGGGCGUCGACCGGCGCACGGGUGAGUAACGCGUAUCCAACCUGCCCAUCACUUGGGAAUAACCUUGCGAAAGUAAGACUAAUACCCAAUGACAUCCCACGAAGACAUCUGAAUGGGAUCAAAGAUUUAUCGGUGAUGGAUGGGGAUGCGUCUGAUUAGCUUGUUGGCGGGGUAACGGCCCACCAAGGCAACGAUCAGUAGGGGUUCUGAGAGGAAGGUCCACCACAUUGGAACUGCGACACGGUCCACACUCCUACGGGACGCAGCAGUGAGGAAUAUUGGUCAAUGGGCGAGAGCCUGAACCAGCCAAGUAGCGUGCAGGAUGACGGCCCUAUGGGUUGUAAACUGCUUUUAUAAGGGAAUAAAGUGCGUCUCGUGAGACUUUUUGCCUGUACCUUAUGAAUAAGGACCGGCUAAUUCCGUG
This 492-nucleotide ribosomal RNA is filed under the name uncultured bacterium. RNAcentral describes it as "partial 16S ribosomal RNA". It matches the Rfam family "Bacterial small subunit ribosomal RNA", at positions 28 to 507 of the family's 1533-position model. The record is from RNAcentral.